AAUUUGGUGGCUUACUUUUUGUGUUUAAUUUUAGAAAAAUCUUUAUUUUUAGUAUUGUUAUUGAAGGAAAAGUUUUAUGUUAUAGGUUAUUAGUACUGUGAAGGAGUGUUGAAAUAUUAGAAAAUGAAAAUUUUUUUAAGUAGACUUUAUUUGUUGUACCUUUUGUAUCAGGGUUGAUUAAAUUGUUUUAAUAUAUGUAGUCUCGAUUUCAGAAGAGCUAUGAAAAAUGGUUGCUGUUUCAUAAUUAUCAUGAAUUCAAUAUUAGGGGGGAAACCCCAAUCGGUCUUAAUGGUAUCUAGUUUUUUAAGAAUUAAAUUUAAUUUAGGUUUGUUUAUUAAUUUGUUUUUUGAGAAAUAAAUUAUCAAAUAUAGCAAAUAUUUUAGGGGAUAAGCUCUAAACUGAAGACUAUAAUUUUUUAUUAUUUUUAAUUUAUGUAGGCUUUAAAUUAGCUAUCAUUGGUAAUUUUGUUAUAAAUUGUUUUAAUUUAAUUUGAUUUAUUUAAAUUUAGUAUUUUAUUAAAAUGUCGCUUUUAAUGUGAAAAAGUUUGUAAUAAUGAUUAAAUUAGUAUAUUAUAUUGUAUAAAGUUGAUUAUAUAGUGAGGAUUAUAUAAGGAAUUCGGCAAAUAAAACAGUCGCCUGUUUAUCAAAAACAUGUCUUCUUGUUUUUAUAUGAAGUCUUGCCUGCCCGGUGAUUAUUUAACGGCCGCGGUAUUUUGACCGUGCAAAGGUAGCAUAAUCAUUAGUCUUUUAAUAGGGGACUGGAAUGAAGGGUUUGACGAACUGUUAGCUGUCUCAUUUAUUUUUAAAUUAAAAUUUAAUUUUUCAGUCAGAAAGCUGAAAUUUAGUUGGAAGACGAGAAGACCCUAUAGAGCUUUAUAAUUUGUGAUGUAUAUGAAGGUGAUGUUAUGACUAAAUUUAUAAUCAUUGAUUAUUUUAUUGGGGUGAUGAGAAAAUAUAAUAAACUUUUCUAUUUGUAAAACAUUGAUUUAUGAUUUAUUAGAUCCAGUCUUAUUGAUUAUUAGAUUAAGUUACCUUAGGGAUAACAGCGUUAUCUUCUCUUGGAGUUCUUAUUUACGAGAAGGCUUGCGACCUCGAUGUUGGAUUAAGAUAAUAGUUAGGUGCAGCAGCCUAAUGUAUAAGUCUGUUCGACUUUUUAAAUUCUUACAU
This 1166-nucleotide ribosomal RNA is filed under the name Leptogomphus sauteri. RNAcentral describes it as "partial 16S ribosomal RNA". Lineage: Eukaryota; Metazoa; Arthropoda; Insecta; Odonata; Aeshnidae. The record is from RNAcentral.